Molecule: ribosomal RNA, 468 nt
Filed under: uncultured bacterium
Lineage: Bacteria
Description: partial 16S ribosomal RNA
Rfam family: Bacterial small subunit ribosomal RNA
Source: RNAcentral
GACGAACGCUGGCGGCGUGCUUAACACAUGCAAGUCGAACGGAAAGGCCCUGCUUUUGUGGGGUGCUCGAGUGGCGAACGGGUGAGUAACACGUGAGUAACCUGCCCUUGACUUUGGGAUAACUUCAGGAAACUGGGGCUAAUACCGGAUAGGAGCUCCUGCUGCAUGGUGGGGGUUGGAAAGUUUCGGCGGUUGGGGAUGGACUCGCGGCUUAUCAGCUUGUUGGUGGGGUAGUGGCUUACCAAGGCUUUGACGGGUAGCCGGCCUGAGAGGGUGACCGGCCACAUUGGGACUGAGAUACGGCCCAGACUCCUACGGGAGGCAGCAGGGGGGAAUAUUGCACAAGGGGCGGAAGCCUAAUGCAGCAACGCGGCGUGCGGGAUGACGGCCUUCGGGUUGUAAACCGUUUUCGCCUGUGACGAAGCGUGAGUGACGGUAAUGGGUAAAGAAGCACCGGCUAACUACGUG